Anguilla rostrata (American eel) is the source of this 11027-nucleotide long non-coding RNA. RefSeq lists it as uncharacterized. The transcript has 2 exons. Lineage: Eukaryota; Metazoa; Chordata; Actinopteri; Anguilliformes; Anguillidae. The record is from RefSeq and is a predicted model, not a curated record.
UGUGGGACGAACCGGGCUUUAAAGAGGCAGUGAUCAGUUAAAACUAGAGCUGUGGCUUUUGUCUCAGUCCAUACCACAAAGAUAGACUGUCAACCCCAGCACAGAUUGCCGCUCAGCCGACAGCCAAGCAGUCGACAAGGAUAACAGAAGCAUCAUGAUAUUCGGAAAACAUCGGUGUUGUAUUUUUUUCUUCGUUAUAGAGAGAGAGGCAGGAAGAGGCAGGAAGAGACCGAGAGAGCGAGAGAGAGAGAGAGAGAGAGAAGGGUAAAGAGGGCGAGCAUUCAUGUGAUUCAGCUGGCGUGUCAUCUGAACACCGUGGUCUUUUUGGAGACCUCACAAAACGAACCGACACCAGGACAUCUGAUGGACAUCCAAGACGCCAACAACAAAACGUGUGAGUAUAUUCACAAUCAAAUGCUUGACUUGUACAUUUUAAAUAUCAGACACUAAAAGGCAGGAUACAAAUUCAUCAUGCACGAUAUUAUAUAAAGCAGGACGUAGUGUCUGCAGUCAAGAGUUAAUGCAUUAUGUUCUAAAAGUGUAUUUAUAAUUGAAUUAUUGACGUAUAUUGUAAUUGUAUUAAUGCAAGAUGUGUACUCUUAUUAAAAUACAUGCAGAUUUACAAGGAACGUGUCGAGGGUCGGGAGAGUUCAAGAUAUAAAGGAUGCUGGACUGAGCAACAGGUAGAACAGGGGCAGUGUUAUCAUCUUUGGAAAAGUGGUGGAUUUUAUUUUUCACUGUUGAGCUUUAUUUACUCUGCCUUGUGAUUAUUUAUUUUGUUGCUGUUGUUUUUGUCGUUUGUUUGUUUUCAGUUCUUUGCGCAGAUUGUACUGGUCUUUUUUUUUUGUUAAGAUAGCCUACUUACACAUGCACUCAAACACACACACAUACGCACGCACGCACGCACGCACACACACGUGUGCAUAUAUGUGAACGCGUGCGUGCGUGCGUGUGUGAAUACAUACAUAGGCUACAUACCUACAUAGAUCCAUACAUACAUACAGUGCAACUCAUGGGUGGGCUAUUCUUAUUUUCCAUGGACCCGAAAUUAUUUUAGUGAUUUAAAUUAUUUGCCUUUGUUUUUGUUAACUGUAGGCUAGUUUGUCCCUUUGCUUUCAGGCGUUCCAACAUAAUUUUGUUCUUGUCAAGAUGUGAUAUGCAAUGAUAGGCUAUUAUUGAUGAUAGGAAAUACACUUCACAAGGAAUGGUCGUGUGCGCGUUUUCGUGUUUACCGGAUGACUGUAAUCACACUUGAAAAACACUGUAUUACAGUUAUCAUCCACAGUAGCCAGCAAUGUCCGUAUCAGCGCGACUAUAUCUUCGUAUUUUUGCAUAAGAAAAUAUCGUGCAUUACCCCUUCUAUAAGGCAUCUGGCUUUUUUCCACACAAUGGAAGUAUUAACCGUGAGGUCAUUUAAUAAGGCAGUACUUGAGAAUUUUUCACGCCACAACGUGAGUUGUUGUCACGCGUAUAUGUGCGAACAGGCCUACUUGUUUGUCUAAAUCUGUUGGACAAAGCUAAGGAGAUUAUUAUAUAGUCAUGUUUUGAAGUAGGCCUGUAUUAUGCUGUGGAUCAUCACGUAAUUUGAGGUACGCUUUCGGGGUCAGCUCGCUUUUGCAUAGUUUGAAUUUUAUUAAAGCAUUAUCUUAUUAUGUUGCAUUUUAAAGGAAGUCCGGACUCUAGCCACUGGAGUAUGUGUUUGGUACUAAUAUCAAUUUUAUUUUCCAUGUUUACCCCCACCACAAUUUUGUGGUAACAUAUUGUCAACACUACGAAAGAGUAGGGAAACACGAUUUUGCCAAUAAAGUGCUCCUUUUUCAGCGCCCCCUGCAUUUAAGCUAUAUCUCAAUCACUUUCUCAUUCCAACUCAAGAAAUGUAAAAACAGGAUGUGUUUGAAGGAUAUGUGACACCAUUGUUUUUCGUCAAAAUUACGAAAGUGGUUAAGGUGUUGGCCAAGCACAUAUAUUAUAAUGUCAUCUUUGUCACUUUUAAAAUAACCGGUACCGCAACCGUUUCAGUACCCACAAGUGUGAACAGCUCCAAAUCCCAGAGAAACGAAAAUCCAGUUUCCGCGGUAAUUAUUUUAAGCCCCACGAUGGUAAUCUGCUGUUGGCCUAUAGUUGUCUGGAGAAUUUCAUUAGAUUACAUUAGAUUAAUGAUUUAUUUGGAACCAGAUACAAUAAUGAUCGUGCCCCCACCUACGCUGCCUUAAAACCCGAAGGAUCCACACAACUGAGAUCUACCCACCACGAAUAUCCUCGAAGCAAUAUUUUUAUCACACUGGUUUUGUGUUUACUGUUCACUUAUCCCAUUCCUUAUGUGAUCAGGUACGGGGAAAACAUGCACCUCAAUAUCUUGCAUCUGUGGCAACGUCAAGUGACAGUGUCAGUUUUCCUACAGCAGUCGACUUUGUGCGCGGCAUGUGGUAGCGUAACUGCGGCGGUAAGACGUUCAUUUGCAUUUCAGGGUCUGGGAUGUAUGUUUAAAUAAAAAUGACGUAUCUAGCUCAGAGAUGAUACCCAGAUAGUGAUAUUUUUACACAUUCUUGGUUGUGUUUACCUUCAAGUUUAGAUAAUAUCUGAAAUAAACAAAGACACAAAAAUUAUACCGGUGCCUUUACUACGAAAAUAGUAAAAGUUAAGUAAUAGUUUAUAUAGUUUUUGUGAUUAUUGUUUGUUUUCACGGUCCUCAGUAACAUUCGCUGUCUCAAGGUGAAAUGCUGGUAAAUUCAAAUUCGUUGCAGAAAGCGGUGAUAUUCUAUGAUGAACUGCAUUUUUGCUUUUUAAUAUUUGAAUACAGACAAUGUACAGAUUAUGGACAUUUGGAUUGUCAUUUGUAAUGCUUUAGCUGUCAUCAGUAUUAAUUGUUUUGAGUAUCUGGUCCUUUUGCUUUAUAUAAAUGUCCAUUAUAAUGAAUCACUUGGUUUUUGUAUGUCACUGCUGGAAACAGCCCUGUGUUCAUGCUGCUGAAGUCUUUAAAAAAUAUGUCUUAGUCGAGGAAAAUGUCAGAGAACUCUAGCUUCAUCCAAGUAAUGUCAGAUGUGUACCAUUAGUUGUAUGGGAAUUAUCACUUUACUGUAUGUAGGAAUAGCUCUACUUUGUAACAAUUCUUUUAACACAUAGGAUAAGGUUUGCUUAGUUUACUUCAGCUUAAGCUUCCCUUAGAACAAACACCUAUGUGCAAUUGCAUUCCUUUCUGCUAUGUUAAUAUAUUCUUCAUAUUAAUUUUCGCAUAUCCAUUUAUCUGAAUCUAUCCACUCUCAUGGAAAAUGGAGAAAGUAUGACAUGAUUUAAGAAAAAAAGGGGGCGGGGGAGUUCCCCUUUGCGCUUUUCAAUUCAGUGAGAGUGCUUUCACAGCUCAGACCAACAGCUAAUCAUAUAAAGCUGUUUCCAAAUUUAAAAAAGCAUGCAUUUGAUACAAACGUUGUGAUUAACUUUAAAUGUCCAUUAUUCUAAAGAGAAUCUACAAUUAUGCUUUUUGUAUUUAAUAUUCCAUUGGGCUGAAAAGUGGCAUCGUAAACUUGUUACAGAAACAAAUGGUAAUUACUAUCAUUGUUACUGAUAAAGGGAUGCCUUGCAUUUCUGUUUCAAUGAUUGUGUAGGUAAAGGUUAUAGGUUGUCUCUGAAGCAGUUUGGCUGCAUAACAACAUUCUGAAACUAUUCCAAAAAUGUAUAUUUACAAUCAUUUAGAACAGGUGUUCAAGCAGGGAGAUAUAUUUGUAUAUAUGCAAUUAUUGUAAUUAGAUACAGUUUGGUUACAGCCUCAUUAUAGCCAGAUACUAUUUUGCACUGGAUCGCAGUUAUAUACCUGAAAUAAGGAGUGUGGACUAUUCAAAGCUUUUUGAAAGAAAAAUAGCUGACUGAAUUUACAUGGCAAAGAUCAAGAGCAAAAUCUUGUAUCAGUGCAGAUCUAGAGUUCGUUCAAAAUUGCCUUAUUGUAACAAUGGCAUGAUUUAUUGUUCCAACAAACCUAUUGAUCAUAAAAAAAUUAAGCUGUGUCCAUUGUUCAGUUGUUUCUGGAUAUCACAAGGGCUGAAGUGCUACGAAAAAAAAACACCAAGAGAAUAUCUGAAUGUGUGGGAGGCUCAGCUGAAAAGCUCCAGAGCAGCAUGGUGUGAGUUUGUGUCUCACGCCUAACCUUGGCAAAGGCAAUCUGCUUUUGAAGGAGUAGCUCUUUUUGAAGACGGUGGUAGCACCGCAGGGCAUUUUGAGUAACAUCAAAACGUGACAGAGUAUGUGUAUUAAAAAAAAAGAGCCAUUUAGGGGUGCAUUUGAAGUGCAAUCACAAUCAGUGGCUGGGUGUGCUGAGGCCAGGCGGACCCUGGAAAUCAGCGGGGCACUGUGCCGCAGUGUUUGAUCUAGUCUUUCACACGGGCCCAGGGGUGAACGCAGCGCAUCGGAGAACAGAGGCGGCCAGGGCCAGGAGCCCCUGUGGAGUAUUAGGGGAGCGCGGGUCGUCACGUCUGUCCGGGGAGAAGCAAUGCUUCAGUGCAUCUGUUGACACUGCUCUCCAAAGAAACGAGUGGACGCUGACAGACGGACGGAUUGGGAUCGGCCCGACUUGAAUUCGGCGGUCUGUGAUGAAACGUACAUCUUAAGAGGAUGAGCCGGCCGGCCUCUGAUGAAAUAUGAACCCAGGCUGACCGUUUUUUCCAUAUCUCAUCCAGAUACCGUAUGUUUUGUUGUUCAGAAUUGUGCACCUGCUUGUGCGAAAGCAGGUGCUUUCCUUGAAGUGAGAUUUCACUUGAGACCAUGACUUCACCUGUGGAGGCUGACAUUAUCUCACCUAUCCUGCAUAUAGAGAAUAAUCAUUGAGCGAGAUUUGAUGUGAAUGGCAAAUACAGAGCAGCAUCAUAUAUCUCAUACAUAAUCUACAGUCAUACAUCAUUUGGAUGUUGAAGCGCAUGCAGGGAUGGUUACAUUUAUUGGUUUGAUUAUAAAAACAUUAUUAUAUUGACUGGCCUGAAUUAUGAAUUAACUAUACUUUCUUAUUAUGUAGCCACAGCAUGUGUACUUAUUGUGAUGAAUUGGAAUAUCUACAGAAAAUGGUCAUUAAGGUCAGUAGUAAUCCAACCAGAAAUUGAAUCAUGAACCUUGUCAAUCUAAUGUGGAUGGGCCACCAAUGGCAACCUGCUCAAAAACACUGUCUUCGAGAAUUACUGGUGACUUCCACAAUAUUUCAGUCUUCAUGCCAGAAUGUCUGUCGGGGUGUGUAUUGGUCCUGUGGUCAUUAUUGCUUUUCAUUUUUCAGGAUUACAGCAAUGGAACUGUGGGUGUGAGGAUUAUCUGUGUGCUUUUGAUUACCACACCCUCACCCUCCAAAUAUUACGCAUUUAUAAUUCAACUUCCGAUAGACAUUUUCAGUCUACAAUGCAUUACACAAUUUAUUCAAUCCUUACUUAUUUAGCCAACAAUCAUUUAAUUAGUGAUUCAAACAUAGUUAUGGGUGAACAAUGGCUUUGAAGAAGCAUUUGGAAGAGAGCUGUUUAUACCUCUGUACUGCAUAACUGAUGUAUUUUGAGUAAAUAGCCUCUUUUGUCACUUUAGCAGAAUGACAUAUUAUGCAGCAGCAGCAAAGGUGUUGCUUGGCAGGAUCUGUUUUCAUAUGCCGGUUUUGUGAGCAGCGACUGUGACGACAUUGUUAAACAGAAUAAAAGUGAGCUAGAAUUGAGCUGGGGAGUUCAUUGUUUUGUCCACAGACUGAAAGAUCUGAAUGAGUCAUGUAUACAUUGUAGCAUUUGUUAACUGAUCUCUUAAUUUAUAUUCUUUCAUAAGCAGCUCUUACUGCUAAGGAAAUGUUUAAACCAGGAGUGUUUGAGCCUAACAAAUUCAACUAUUGGCAGGAUCUAUGACGGGAAAUACAGCUUAUGUUAUCCCAGGAAAAAAUGGCACUCCCAAGGAGCAAGAGCAGUUUCUCAGACUUGAAUAUUUAAAUGGAUUUCUUAAAACAGCCAUAGGUCCUAUACUUUUUUGUGCAUUUCAGCUGGCGUUCGUCUCUCCACGUUCAAGAUUUUGGAAGGAAUAUCAAAGGAGCAGUUGCAAAGAACCAUGAAUAUGUUGCCUGCGAUGAAACAUUCUUUACCCAUGGUACACUGUGUGAAGAGAAAGCGAAGGGGUGCAGGACAAAUUUCCACCCCCACAUCCCUCCAAUUUCAGCAAAGGAAAAAAUGAAAGGCAAUUCCCCACAGGACUCCUGGGAGGGAACAUGCUUGGGUAAUUAAGCGUCGCGGCGCACAGCCCCAGUCAAGGCAAUUACCACAAAUCAUACACUCUCACCAGCUCUAAUUAUUGAAAAUCUGUCUACUUUGUUGACAGACAAGACUCGUUUUCCCUAUAGCACACUUACAACAAUAACAAUUAUGUCACGUACUAUUACAUAUAUUACCUAUUUAGCCAAAAUGGAUGGCUGUACUAAAGCCAUUUUAGAAGGACCACAGGAAAGACAUUUUACUCAUCCUAAUAUGUACUCUGUAAGAUAUUCGCACUAGAAAUGACAAAACUACUGUAACAUUGCACACUUGUGUCGUAUCAUCUUUAUUUCUGCUUGUCUGAUGAUACCAAUGAUUUUACCAUUUUUCAAAACUAAUUGAAGUCAAUUAUGGGUCAUGAAUAAUUUGGGACACUCCUCUAAGAGUGGAAGGGGCGAUGUGGGCUUUGACAGGUUAUCCAGAGGACAGAACAGCUCAGCAUUUCAUUCAUUCGGCCCGGUUCUCUGCUGACAGCCCCUCAUCCCCUGCCAGUCUUUAAAUGUGAAAUCAAUGGGAGCAGAUCUAAUCAGCAAUAUCUUCUCUUGUUCCCAGAGACUGAGGAGGGGGUCAGUCACUUUGGUUUCUGUAAGUCACGCUCCUAAUCAGCUCUGCUCAGUGCCGGGGUGCCCAGGGAGAGCCAAAAGUAAUGAAUUAAGGGGAUGAAUGAACAGCCAUUUAAGGUACAUCCACCAUGUUCCCCAAGGUCAGGCUUAUUCAAUGGGAACCCAAUCGAGUUAGACAGUAAAGGCAGUGUGCUACCUUAAGGGCAUGGUUAUUAUCAGUGAACACUAUUGAAUUAAAAAACACCUGCAUCCUUGUUUGAUUCCCAUUGCGUGGACAGGAAUAUGAGUUUAACACCUGAUUAUUUUGCCAUGGGGCAUCUAUUUUGUUUAUUUAUUUUUAAUCACCUUUAAUUACCUUUGGGCUACAAGCCCAGCUCCAGGAGCCUAGCUCUUUAAUCACUGCAACAUACACGUGCCAAAAAUGUGUAAGUUGGAUAUGUAAAUACAGUGUCGAGAUUGUGCACAAUUAACUUAUGAUGCUGAGAAUUCCUCAGUCUUAAAAAGAUGUUAUAUUUUCAAAUGCACACAUAUGUUAAGGUACAUGCUUUGACCCACUACAAAUUUAUUGGGUUCUUGCUUGUUUAUUAAUCAGUGACAGCAAGGUGAUUUGCUAUGGGACAUGAUCAGCAAUACGUAGCUCAGAAACUGCACCACAUCCAAUUCUGAAGGUUCAUCUGGGGUUGUGAAACAUUGCACCUCUCUUCUGACAAUAGCUUUUCAAUAAAGAACACAGAACAAUAGCUUUUCAAGACAGAACACUUGUCAGAAUUAAUCAAAAGACAGCGAGAGCUCUCUUUUAAUUCAAUGUUUUUUUACAUUCAAUUAAUCCUCAUACGCAAAAUGUUAGAUUCCAGCCAAAGUGUACCAGCCAAAAUAACACAGAGAAUGUUUAUUUGCUGAUGUAAUUGAUAACACCUCAUUGCAUCUUUCUCAUUCAAGGAAACUGUAGCAUUAAUCAUGCUUGCAUUGUUUUUUUUUUUUUGUUUUUUUGCAAACUGCAUAGAUCAUCAGAAAUAUUUCUCUUAAUAUAAAUUAUCAGAUCAUCAGAUAUAUUGUCUGUGAAAGACUGCUCUUCUUACCGUAGUCUAUCUAGAAUAUAUAUAGAAUAAUAUUGCUGCGUUAAUUGAGUGCCAGGCUUAAUUGAAAUGGCACAAGAGCAGAUCUGAACACUGCUUUUCUUUGACACAGAACUCCUCUCUGCAUACUGUGCUUCAUGGCCAUUAGUGUAGAAUGAAAAACAUUCAUUCAAACAGGAGGGCAUAAUUUAACUCUGCUUUAAUAAUGCAUCAUGAUUCAAUGCUGGAUCCAUUAUUUCUACCAAGAGUCCAACUGGAGGUAGAAAGAGCUGGUUUGAUACAAGGCUCUUUCCCUACAAUCUUGCGUAAAUGCAUAAAUGAAUGCAGGGACAAGCUCCAUUAUUUUGAAAGAGUCUCUGGUAUUCAAAGGGACAGAGUAGCCCAUUAUAGCUAAUAUAUUUUUUAAUAGGAAAAACAUAUUUGAUCCAAACUAAUUUCCCCUUCACAGCCUGGCUUCUAAAGUAAUCCAUUACCUCUAUGAGUCAGUAGCAGGAGGAGCAAGUUGCUAAUGACCCUUACCUUCAGAGCAAAGAAUUGUCCUGUCACUCUCUAUACAAUACUGACUCCAGAACAAUGGCAGCCAAUUGUUCCAUCGUCUUUGUAUGCGCUAACCCAAGCAGGGCCUUAUACAAAAUAAAUGGGCAAUGUAACUUGAACUUGGGGCAGCCACACCACCUUGAAGCAACCGUCAAUUUAGUCAUUAAUGUUAAGGAGAGUUGGAGUGAAGGGAUCAUUCCAGGAAAGAAACAUAAAAUCCAUAUAUAGAUAUAGAUGCAAUUUUCAUACCAUAUUCUACAGAUAUUGGUAGAGUUUUUUGUCUUUGGUAAUGGAAAAAAUUAUUUCCAAAUGGUAAUGAUUUUUUGAUGCUGCAAAUGGAAGAUCUCCAUUGUAGUGUGGGUUUGUGGGUUUAAGUUAUUAUAUUUCAGAGUGCGCACAAGCAUUACAAUUCAUCCUGACAUUUAAAACAUAUAUAUUUCCAAUUUCUGUAUAGCAAUUAGGUGCACUCUACAUGAAGAAGCUGCCACCAUUUCUGAAUAACAAGUCACAGUACCCGAUGUUCACGCUCCAUACUGUCUGAUGGAGGAGCAGAUAGACAGAGCUCAGCAGCCUGCUGAGCUCCUGCCACAUAAUCAUUUGUUCCCACACACCACUCCUUUUUCACCUUUUAUGAAACAUGAAAUUAAAUCUCCUUAUGGAGACCAGUCAGCACACCAAGCAGUGUUCCAUCUCCUGAUAAUCUCUUGCACAGCAAACAUGCUGGACGUUGUCAGCUAAGGGGUGUCUAGUCUUUCAGUAGAUAAUUAUGUUGGUAAAAUUAAAUUUGGCCCGACACAUAUGUCCCAAGCACCCAAGGAAGUUUAGUUUCAAUUUUGAUGUGACCCAUGAGAUAAGUUCAUGUAUAAUAUUGUUUCUUGUAUAAGAUUGUUACAUGCUGUAAAGUAGUUUGAGCAUUUUCAUUCUGAUUAUUUUCCACAGUCAGCACUGUGUAAUUCAGAUUAUUUGUUAUCUAUGUGCAUACUGAUAAGCAUCCCCCCUACUUUACUGUAUAAAAUGUUCACUGCUCGCUGCAUGGUCUGGGCAUAAGCAGAGUAUUGGACAAAUUUUACAAGAACGGUACUAUUUUCAUUGGUCCAUUUUAUUAAACUGAAAGCCAAGCUAUUACACCAACUGUAUCUUCACAUUUUAUAGGACUGAGAGUGGCUGGGGAAAUGGGGACACAGAUGACAGCCUGUGAAAAUGAAAGGAUGGAUUUUGGAGAGAUAGCCGUGGUCCUAGAUCACACAGUGAAAAGGGCACAUGGACGUCUCAUAUUAUGACCAUAUUAAUUCCUUGAAAACAGGACUUUAUUGGCAGAUUGAGCUUUUAAUUUUGAAGAGCAGAGACUGCAUUCAUGUCUGACUUUUGACUGCUUGCCAAAGCCUGCAUAUUCAUUCCUAAGUUUUUGAAAUUCAAAAUGCUGCUUGUGCGUUUACAACUCACAUAAAAUCAAUAGUUCAAUGAUGGAAUAAAUAUAAUGGGAAACACACAAAAAAACUGACUUUCGGAUGCAUUUUCAAUGUUUAUUAUAUGUGUACAGUAAGCCAAAAUAGCCUAUUAUCUGUUAGGUUAAAGGUCUAAACAUAAAUUGAGUAUUUAUUAAAUAGAAUUAAUAAAUGUAUAUUUGCACAUCUUUAUAUGACAAGAUAUAAACACCUUCUUCCUUCGUGUCACACGUGCCACUGUUCUGUUUAUAACCAAUAUCAGUUCUGUAUCAAAAGCGCUAACAAAUAAUUUAGACAACCAGAUUUACAUUGCCUCUUCUCCUUCAACAUACAUCACUGGAUCUAAGACUAUUAAAAAGAUAAAAUUUAUGAUUGUUGAAGGUAUUUUAUAAAUUCAUAAAUGUAGUUUGCAAGUAGCAGUAAAUCCUUGUGGUUAACUGAGUUUUUGUUUAUAUGCUCUAUUACUCUUUUUUUGAGGUUAUAAGCGUGUUGCUCAUUCUUAACACAGGGUGAGUAGGAAAGGAAAGGCAUGAAUACUCCCAAUAUCUUUUUAAUGCGCACAGAGUAAGCCUUUCAAUCAAGGCUGAUGGUGAAAGAAAAAGCACCCAGUAACAGUAAGACAAAACAGGCAGCACAUUAUAAAUUGACAAAAUAAUACAUUUUGUGUUGAAUAGUCUGUGCAGUACAAUGCUAUGUGCUAUGGCAAUAUUUGUAAAGAAUGUGCUAACUGCAUUUAACAUAGCUUUGAGUUACUUGCUCUAAAUUUGUAUGUGUAUUUAUGAAUUCAUUAUUAUUACAUUUUUUUAUUUAUGGUGCUGGACACCGUGGAAGACUAGUGAUUUUGUUGUUGUAACAGUUCCGUGACAACAAGUCAUAGUCUACCUCAAUGACCAGAGCCCUCUCACCAAACUGUGGAAAAGUCCAGGAAGACAUCCUGCUUCCCUCAAAAGAAGACAUUUACCUCUUUCAGGUUGCCCAUAUUGCUUUUUGCUACAUCUGUUCACAUCAAAAAGCAAACUGGAUUGCAUCUGAAGGACCACAAGCAGCAGAAGAUCGAUGACAACAGAAAAAAAAGAUUUUAUGGCUUUUGUGGGCACUUGGUUAGUGUCCUUAUUGUUCACUGCAUUAAAUAAAUUAAAAGAUAUGUUUUGCUCUUUG